CGUAACAAAUAUGGAACGAUGUAAUGAUAAUGGAGGCCUAUUACAGAAACUUAAUGCUGUUAAUAAAGAGUGCAAAAUAGAAAUAUGUGUACCCUAUGGUACUAUCAUACUAUCCUUAUAAUUGUUAUAUCAUUACUAAGCUGUGUCCUGAAUCGUGUGAAUGACAUAUCUUCAGAAUGAAUAUAAGAACAACAUAUACCGUGCAAUAUUACAUUGUAUAUUUGGAUAUUACUGGUAACAAUGACAGGUGUCACGCCAUGUAUAUUUCCUGCUAUUGUGAGGAGAGACGCUGCUUUGACUUCUGUGACAACACCCAUACCUUGUUCAUGCAAAUGAUCUCAAGGUAUGAUGUCUUAGAAAGCUUCAGAACAGCUCCGUGUCUAAAACAAACAUUCGGAUCAUCAUCAAAACUCUUCACCUUACUCAUCGGAAAUUAGGAAGGAGUGGCGAAAUUCCUUCAGAAAGAAAUAUGACUGAAACUUUUGAAAGUUGUUCUCUAUUCGUGUUCUUUCAUAAAUGUCGUAGUUUUGCAACGUGGUGAACAAGAAUGACUAUCAAGUGUUGUGCCUCCGAGAUUUAUGAACAAUGUCAGUGAUGAUAUUCUUUCAUUACUUACAAAUGUGCCGAUUGUUACAGUUGGAGAUAAAAACGCAUUCAUCCGAAGUAAGACAUGCCCCAGUGUGUCCCAUGGCAUUUGUAUAGGCACACCCAAACGUUGGCUGUAACAGAAACAUGAUAACAUUCGUUAGUGUCUCUUGGGAGAAUGUUCGACGAACUCCAGCAGGUGGAUUGAUCACGUGAUGAAUAGCUCCUAUGCAGACGACGGCCAGUUGGAAAACGAGUUCGCACUCUUAUGUCUGGAGAUUGUGACCGUCUCCCCUGCCAGGGCCUGUGUGAAAGUGACAUUUUAAAGCAACCUGGAACAAAUAUCUUGAACCGGAAGUGAAAGAUACUUCAAUAGAACUGAGCACUCCAUGUCUGCGCUUCAAUCGUCUCGAUUUGAAGAUCUUGCUCAAACACUCUGGAGCUCCUAGAGUCAACACAAGUCAGGCAAACACUCUCCAAUACCGGUGAAAGUUCUACCAGGAAAGAUAGCACAUCAGCUUCACUUUGAACUUGCAAGAUUUCAGUAUCAUCUGGCUUUAGGAAGGGAUCAGACUUCAACCCUUGCGUCUUCGUCGAUUCAGUCGAGGUGAUGGACUCUUUUUCUGGAACGUAACAUCAACAUCUCCUUCCGAUAUAGCGUGAUACGACACUCAGGAAGAGCGGAUUCAUUUGACGUCUUAUACCAUUUCAAGCAUGAUGAAACAUAUCGAAAGAAGUUCUUCUUAUUUUUUUUAUCCGCCAAUUCCUUGGAAUUAUUCAACUAUGUACUGGACUUUUGAUAUAUAUAUUUAACGUACAUCUAUGCCAAUGUUUUGACAAUGAAUUUCUCGAAUGAAUUUGUUUCCGAGUUUCAUUUAAAAGCUCUAAAACGUAAGACGAGACAUAAUGAAAUGUUAUACUGUAAAGUUGUUUAGAAACUGUUAUCAUUGUGUCCACCUUUUAAUCAACAUAGAUUUUAUUUUAGAAUGUGUAACAUCGACAAUGUGACUCUAGGUGUAUAAUUGCCCAAGCCGACUUAUCGAAACUUAAAUGUCGUAAUGUCAAGUUAGUAUAAGAUCCAGAAGAUCGGCAUGAUGGCAACUACGGUUCCAUGACAUUAACUCCGGCGACAAAUGCUCCGCUGUAAAUUACACACAUUGUUAGAAUAACCAACUUCAACUCUGGAGUUAACACCAUACCCUAUCCUAAACCUAACCGUAAACCUAACAUAAAACCCUAUGGCAACCCUCACCUUAAUUAUCUUAAACGAAAUAAAACCCGGAACAAAUGUCGUGUCACCGCAACUACAGGUGUACCUGGUGAAUGUAACUUUAAGACGUUGACCUGGCAAGGUACACUUUAAAAGACUGCGGUGUUAAAACUGACACCAAUUGGUGUUAAUAGAGGACCACACCCUGAGGUGUUAAAAUGUCACCCUAGAGAUUGUACAUAAUACCAAAGAGUAACAACAAAAGGUUUUGUAAUAACACCUAUAGAUGUAAAACUAACACCACCAAUUUAACACCGGUGUAAAAUAACUGGUGUGGUCCUCUAUGUACACCGGUUAACACCACAGUUUUUGCUGUGUACCUUAUGUCACAAUAUCGACUAACUGUCGAAUAAUAAGUCGACAUAACACGGAUAUCAACUCGACAAGUUGACAACACAUACUAUCUUGUAAUGUCGUCAACUACACUGUAAAAACUGUGAUGUAAAAACUGACACCAAUUGGUGUUAAUAGAGCACCACACCCU
Molecule: long non-coding RNA, 2339 nt
Filed under: Lytechinus variegatus (green sea urchin)
Lineage: Eukaryota; Metazoa; Echinodermata; Echinoidea; Temnopleuroida; Toxopneustidae
Description: uncharacterized LOC121426754
Source: RNAcentral